RNAcentral lists this long non-coding RNA (527 nucleotides) under Trifolium pratense (red clover). RNAcentral describes it as "long non-coding RNA (TPRA_LNC007244)". Lineage: Eukaryota; Viridiplantae; Streptophyta; Magnoliopsida; Fabales; Fabaceae. The record is from RNAcentral.
GCAUUGCAACCCUACCACAGUGUUAUGAAACUUGUGAUCGAUAAAAAAAACCACUUUUAUGGUAAAAAUGAAAACAAAGUAAAGUUAGAAGAAUGAAAUGCAAUAGAAAUUAUGUCAAUUUUCCACACUGAAAAUGGAAAAAAAUAACAAUAUAAUGGGAACGCGAUGAAUCUCACUGUUAAAUGUAGUAUCUCAGAUCACCUUUUUCAAAUCACAAGUCACCCUCCUCUCUCUCAAUCCCUCUCUUCCCCUCAAAAUUCCUUCAAAUUGAAGUCUCAUCUUUCUCAAUUUUCAGCAACCGAAUUUUCAGCCUAGAGGUUAAUAUGUUACGUGGGAUGUUGUUUUGAGUGGAGGGGUAUGGAAGUAUUUCAAUUUACAUAAAAGGGUAAAGUAGGAAAAACAAAGCAGCAUCUCCUAGAUGGAGACUGACAAAAAUAAAACCCAAAACACAGGGAAACUACAACUAUGAACAUCAUAGUUACUAUAGGCACAUAAAUACAAGGGAGAGUUAUGGAAGUGAAUUAAAU